GCUGGGCACGGUGGCGCACACCUGUAAUCCCAGCAGCUCCGGAGGCUGAGGCAGGAGGAUCUUGAGUUCAAAGCCAGCCUCAGGAAUAUAGUGAGGCCCCAAGCAACUCAGUGAGACCCCGUCUCUA
Molecule: small RNA, 127 nt
Filed under: Marmota monax (woodchuck)
Lineage: Eukaryota; Metazoa; Chordata; Mammalia; Rodentia; Sciuridae
Source: RNAcentral